GGGGCCUUAGGGUAGCUUGGUCAUCCUUGGGGGCUGGGGGUCCUCAGACCUGCGUUCAAAUAAGGUUAAGAUCUGUCUUUUCCUCUGAAAGUCGCAGGGGUCCCA
RNAcentral lists this transfer RNA (105 nucleotides) under archaeon. RNAcentral's name for it is "tRNA-Pro". RNAcentral also lists the same sequence under 1 other name. The record is from RNAcentral.